GAAAUGCGAUAAGUAGUGUGAAUUGCAGAAUUCAGUGAAUCAUCGAAUCUUUGAACGCACAUUGCGCCCCUUGGUAUUCCAUGGGGCAUGCCUGUUCGAGCGUCAUCUACACCCUCAAGCUCUGCUUGGUGUUGGGCGUCUGUCCCGCCCCCGCGCGUGGACUCGCCCCAAAUCCAUUGGCAGCGUUCCUUGCCCCCUCUCGCGCAGCACAUUGUGCUUCUCGAGGGCGGCUCCGGGACGCGAUCCAGCAAGAUGACCACCGUCUUUGACCUCGGAUCAGGUAGGGAUACCCGCUGAACUUAAGC
Molecule: unclassified non-coding RNA, 305 nt
Filed under: plant metagenome
Description: partial contains 5.8S ribosomal RNA, internal transcribed spacer 2, and large subunit ribosomal RNA
Rfam family: 5.8S ribosomal RNA (bases 1-105)
Source: RNAcentral